AGGAAUCCGAAGUCAACAAAAUCAUGAAACAAAACCGGAACCAAGCCCAACAUAUCUCCUCUCAAGUUUCAAAACCCUUCUACAUUACAAGCAAACAUUGCAGCAGCAACUAUAACGAGUGAUCCAACCACAUUAUUAUGCAUAAACGUAACUGCGCUAGAUAUAUCCACAGGAGCAACAGGACUCUCUACAUUAGCAGAAGGAACCGCCUUAGUAGGUUUUUCUGCAGGUGCCUGUACUGGUGCUGGAGCUGGAGCAUUGGAUCCAAAAAUGUCCUUAGGAAGUAGCACCUUCUCGAUCUUAUAAAUGGCUAGCUGGUUGUCCGUGUAAACCGUGCCAGAUAAACUUGUAUUGGUAAGUCCUGUGGUUAUGUUCACCGAGUUUGGAUAACUUGUGACAUUAAGUGGUAACCUACUACCUGUUCCAGCCCAUGUUCCAAGAGGAUUACUUACGGUCUGGAACUGGGAAGUCGAUAGAAAUGUUGGAACUACGUGGAACUUCACCAACUCAGACUUGUCUCCAUCACUUAGAGUAUUGAGAGUUCCUGAUUUGAGUUCCGAAAAUGCACUAUCUGUGGGUGCAAAGAUGGUUAUACCAGUGUUGGAAUCAUUGAGCGCGGAGAACAAGUGGUUUUCCUCUUGGGUGGAUCUCAAAAGGCGGAUAAAGAUCGUGAAAUGGCCAGCCUUCUCAAGGAUUUUGGUGACGUUGGUGAUGCCGUGUGGUGCAGCAGCCUGUGUUGGGGUUGCGACUGGAGGUUGUGCUACGACUACUGCUGGUGCCUGUGCUGGGGCUGCUGUUGGUGACUGGGCAAAGGUAUUGAUAUAACACAGGGAAAGAAGAAGCAUUGAAAAUGAGAAGAUUGAGUACUGUUGCUUCAUCUUUAAGUUUCCACGGUAUAAUGCUAGAGAUAAUUAAAAAAUGCUAACGCAAAUUGAGUUCGAUCUUAGUUGGAAGUGUUUGAUGUCUGAAGAAGAGACAGAGUGAGCUUUUAUAGAAGUGGACAGAGGAUCAAACUAGGUGCAAUGUACGAGUUUAGUUAUACAACUUGGUUGCUAGUACCUAUUUUGCUCUGAAAGGUGGAGGGUCAUCAAUGGAUGGGUUUUUUAACAAUGCUGCAGCAACUACUUGGCUUGGAAAAGAAGGAAAAAAUUUCUAAAAAGCAGAUUUCCAGUGGUGUGACAGUAAAUAAAGAUGUCCAUGAUUGUCGAAAUUAUAUUUUAGAAUCAUCACUGUCAGAACAUUUGAGGAUACUUCUUAACUUAAAAAAAAAAAUCUUCUGUCAUGGCAGAAGAUUUGGACAAGCAAUCUUAACGGAACCAUCUUUCUAUAUCUAAAACAGCUAUGGCUCCUUCAGCAUAAUAGAAUGAAUCUUUACUUCCCUGAAUCCAUGACAGACAUCGAUAGACUAACUUUCCAAAUUUACACAGAAAUCAAAUCUCACCUAGACCAUCACUUAAAACAACACAAUCAAGCAACACCUACCUUAUGUACUUGAUUUGAUGUUCGUGGCAAGCCUUCUUUCAAGGUUUAUGCAAUCUCCAGGGGAGAUGCAUUUUAGGGCAGCAAAUAUGUCCUAAUACAUGUUAGGGGAACACUGAUUUUAGAGUAUGGUUUGAAGCUACUGCAGAUGCAGAAUUGACAGCCUACACAGAUGGUGAUUGGCUCGUUCAUUUGAUGAUAUGUAGAGCACAACAUGUUAUGAGUUCAAUUUCGGUUCAGGUGCAUUUUAUUGGAUGACCAACAAGCAAAAACAAUGGCACAAACCACUGCAGAAGCAGAGUACAUAGCUGCAGCAGCUACAGUGUGAAGCAACGACAAUUGAAAUUGAUAACAACUCAGCCAUUGCAAUUGUGAAAAAUCAUGCAAGUCAUGUCAAAACCAAGCAUAUCUAAGUGAAGUUCCAUUUAGUUCAUGAUGUAUAAAAAGCUAAUGAGGCGACCUUAAUCUACUGUGAAGCAGAAAAUCAACUUGAAGAUAUAUUCGUUAAAACUCUUUCUCAAGCCAGAUUUGAAUUUGUCAGGAACAAGCUUGGAUUAUCAAGAAGUCGUCUCAAGGAGGAAUGUCAUACCAAUUUUGAUACUUUUUCUACAUACUUAGUGCAUGUUCUGUAGCAAUCUACUGAUAUUUUGUAAAAAGUAUUGCUGAAGUAAACCUGCUGAAAAUCAUGUGAGGGCAGGUCCCAGUAGUCAAGGGGUGGUGUUGUGAUCCUUGGAUGGCAUUAGGUGGAGUUUUUCUUGAAAGAAAGUUAUAGUAAUCAAAUACUUCUGCGCAUAUAUAAAUGAUAAUGUCAGAUGUGGUAGUACGAAAAAACAAACCGGUUUACAAAAUCAGCAAAGCACUAUCAGUCUUGCUAUCUAUAAUUUCUCUGCUGCAAACAUUCUUGUUGGUCACAAAACCAGCAGUUAUGAAAUUGGAGAGAACCUGAACCUGAUGUUGGCUUAAACUGGAGAAAGAUUCAUUAAGAUAAAACUUUAAAGGCUCCAUUGUAAGCGCAAUGUGCAGGUUAUUUCACAUACAGAUUGGCAAAACUUCAAGUAAAUUAGCUGUACCAUGCAGAUCCAACUUCGAGCACUCAUUUUGUAACUCAAAAUCCUUGAGAUUGCUGAGAGAACUUCCAAAAAUAAACACCACUCAAUGCAAGCAUCUGCGUAUAAUAACAAACUUUCAUGAAAAGCUGUCAUCAAGAACAAUAUAAGUAUUAUCCUACAUUUGCACAAGCAACCAUCUGCAUAUAAUAAGACAAUAGCUCACUAGUUAUACAAAAUUCACAAUGAAAUAUCUGUUUUCACCGUUGUCCUACAAAAUGAAUGAAUUAAUGUGUAGCACUAGCUUAUCUCUAGCUUCAAAACAUCAAUACUUCAAGAAGAAGGAACGAAAAGAAAAGGAUUAUCUUAAUCCUGCAGGGCAGAGCAGUAAGGUGCUUCGCAUGAGCAAGUAACCCAAAACACUAAUCUCCAAUGCUUAAUAUGCUCUUUUCUGUCCAAUAAUGAAUACUUGUUUCAAUCAAACCUGAUAAAUCCUUGAAAUACUACCUACCUAGUACCUACCUUCAAUUGAAUCAUCUCCAACAGCCCACGAUUUGGACAAGUAACCUCAACCUCAAGUGAUGCAUUCUUUUUAGUGAAGGAACUAAGCUUUAGCUCCUGAAACUUUACAGAACAGAACUUUACAUUCUUCAUUCCUUACAACCUUCAACAGAUAAUCUUUUCAAAUAUACAAACACAGAAAUCAAAUCACCCACAAAUUUGAAGAAAACAUCAUUCAAGAAACACUGACCUCAGGGACCUAAGCCCCAAAGAGGCAAUUGGUUUAUCUAACCAAAAGCUAGGAAAUAAGUAGACGACACCAGGGUUACAGUGAGGAAAAAAAAUGAAAUUUGACAGAUCAAGUAUAUAUAUUGCAACUUGAACAAGAAAUUAAAUGAAACCUCAAAAUUCCAUCUUAACCACAAGCUCAAAUCAUACAAACUGGAUUCAAAGUAAAAUCUGAAUUAUUCAAAUUUCAACAGGAAUCCAAAGUCAACAAAAUCAUGAAACAAAACCGGAACCAAGCCCAACAUAUCUCCUCUCAAGUUUCAAAACCCUUCUACAUGACAAGCAAACAUUGCAGCAGCAACUAUAACGAGUGAUCCAACAACCACAUUAUUAUGCAUAAACGUAACUGCGCUAGAUAUAUCCACAGGAGCAACAGGACUCUCUACAUUAGCAGCAGGAACCGCCUUAGUAGGUUUUUCUCGUGCAGGUGCCUGUACUGGUGCUGGAGCUGGAGCAUUGGAUCCAAAAAUGUCCUUAGGAAGUAGCACCUUCUCGAUCUUAUAAAUGGCUAGCUGGUUGUCCGUGUAAACCGUGCCAGAUAAACUUGUAUUGGUAAGUCCUGUGGUUAUGUUCACCGAGUUUGGAUAACUUGUGACAUUAAGUGGUAACCUACUACCUGUUCCAGCCCAUGUUCCAAGAGGAUUACUUACAGUCUGAAACUGGGAAGUGGAUAGGAACGUUGGAACUACGUGGAACUUCACCAACUCAGACUUGUCGCCAUCACUUAGAGUAUUGAGAGUUCCUGAUUUGAGUUCCGAAAAUGCACUAUCUGUGGGUGCAAAGAUGGUUAAACCAGUGUUGGAAUCAUUGAGCGCGGAGAACAAGUGGUUUUCCUCUUGGGUGGAUCUCAAAAGGCGGAUAAAGAUCGUGAAGUGGCCAGCCUUCUCAAGUAUUUUGGUGACGUUGGUGAUGCCGUGUGGUGCAGCAGCCUGUGUUGGGGUUGCGACUGGAGGUUGUGCUACGACUACUGCUGGUGCCUGUGCUGGGGCUGCUGUUGGUGACUGGGCAAAGGUAUUGAUAUAACAAAGGGAAAGAAGGAGCAUUGAAAAUGAGAAGAUUGAGUGCUGUUGCUUCAUCCUUAUUUUUUUGGGAUAAAAUGCUCGAAACAAUUCAAAUAUACUAAUGCAAAUUGAUCUCAAUCAUAAAGUGUUUGAUGUGUAAAGAUGAGAUAGAGUGAGGUUUUUAUAGUAGUGGACAGAGGAUCAAGUUAGGUGCAAUAUACAAUUUUAGUUAUACAACUAGAUUGCUAGUACCUUAUCUCACUCCAAAAGCUGUAGGGUCAUCAAUGGAGAGGGAAAUUUAACAAUGCUGCAGCAACUACUUUCCUUGGAAAAGCAGGCAAAAAAAAAAGGUUCUAAAAGGUAGAUUUCAAGUGGCUGUGACAACAAAUAAAGAUGUCCAUGAUUGUGAAUCAUCACUAGCAGAACAGCUGAGCAUGCUUCUUAACAUCAAAACAAAUCAUCUAUAAUGACAGAAGAUUUAGACAAGCGAUCUAAACUGACCUUUGUAUCGUAAAUAGCCAAGUCUUUGCUCUUUUAGCUUAAAAGAACGAAUAUUUACAUCCUUAAUCCUUGACAGACAUUGAUAGAUCACUAAUUUUCUAGAUUCGCACGCUCAGAAAUCAAAUCUCACACCAGACCAUCACUUAACACAACUUCAUGAAGAAACACUUACCUUAUGUACAUGAGCCCGUAGAGGUCAUGCUAUUGAUAAAAGUGAUUUUGCAGUAUGCAAACGCAAGUCUUGAAACUUUAAGAUAGCCAUUUCGAAGUAAAAGGAAUUGUGUUCUUUUACAUGAUGUUGAAUGGCAUAAUAGUCUUUUAUUCAUGGAGAGGAUGAAAGAAAAGGCAAGGAGCAGAAAAUGUCUCAGUUGGUUACUGUCAUCCCCAGUGUUUUAUUUAUAGAAGGAAACAAACAUUACAGAAAAUGAAACACUAAAGAAACGUACUAGCUAUGUUCUCCUUUAUCAAAGGAGUUAUAUAACAAGCUAGUCUAAUCCUAGAUAAGCUUAAACAAAUGAAUUGAAAGAAACAUCCUAAUCUAGAUAAUGCUAUCAGCUAACAGAUAAAUAGCUAUCAGCUAACAAAUAGAUAACAAUGCAGUAGAUUACUACAAAGUAAUCCUGUUCCAGCUUUGGUACCAAACUUCAACACUCCUCCUUGGUUCCAAAGCUACACAUUCCAAUUCUUCCUCUCAGAUCUUCAAACAUGUUUCCUGUUUCUAGUUCAACUGCUGCUUUGAAUUUAACAAACUCAGCAAACACAUAAGAUUUUGAUUUGAGGCAAGGGAUUCUGUACUAGAGCUCAAGCCUUUUAUUCAUGUUAAACGUACUAGGAUGAAUGGAUCAUGCUUCCACCAAAACCAUGAUUUUCCUCCAUAAUGCAGCAAAUCAUAGAAGGGUUUUUCUGGCAGUCGUCUGUCACAUUCAGUUUAUGAAAAUUGUGAUAUAACCUCGACAAUUUUACUGAUUGGAAUCCACUUCCUCAAGCUUAAAGUAACAAUCCUAUGCUCUCUAACACUCUCUUUUCUCUAAUUAUCAACACCAGCAGUUUUGAAACAGGAGAAAAGAACUUAACCUGAUGUGGGAUUGCUUAAACUAGAGAAAAAUUCAUUCUGAGGAAACUUAAAAGGUUCCUGUGUGAGAGCAAUACAGCAGAUUUGUUCACAUUAAGUUUAGUAGAAGUUCAAGAGAUAACCUAGUAAAGGUAGUUCUGUUUCAGAAGCCUGAUUUCUUGAUAAUUAGCAUUUUCUACUCUUUUGCAUUAUGUUCAGCCUCGCAUUCAAAUGUUGUCAGCAGAACCAUAUAUAAUCUUACAGAUUAAAGAGAACAACAUUUUGAUUCCAACCACUUCAAAAACUUGUAAUGAAAUAUUUGCUUUCACCAUUGUCCUGCAACCUCCUUUUCCUUUCUCUCUACCCUCCUUAAUGCAUGCUUUGUCUUCCCUGAUCGUCAAAUAAUCAUCUCAAUCCAAUAACUUAAGUUAUUAGAUGAGAUUCCAAGAUAUGAUUUAUAUCAUUCUCUAACACACACCCCUCAAGUAAAAGUCAAUUAAGCUUGAAACUUGCACAUGCCCACACUAUCUUGUGCUUAAUUUUUAUCAAAUAAAUAGGGAUGGUGAGAUUCAAACUCAUGACUGUUUGGUCAUUAAAGUUCUGAUACCAUGUCAAAGAAUCAUCUCAUCUCAAUAGCUUAAGAUGUUAGGUAAGGUUCUAAGAUAUGAUUUAUAUUAUUCUCUAACACACCUCUUCAAGUGAAAGCCCUUUAGGCUUAAAACUUGUACAGGUCCGCACUACCUUGUACUUAAUUUUUAUCAAAUAAAUAGGGAUGGUGAGAUUUCAAGAUAUAAUUUAUAUAUUAUUCUCUAACAUAUCACUUCAAGUGAAAGGCCUUUGAACUUGAAACUUGCAUAGAUCCAUACUACCUUGUGCUUAAUUUUUAUCAAAUAAAUAGGGAUGGUGGGAUUCGAACUCAUGAUCGUUUGGUCAUCAAGACUCUGAUAUCAUGUCAAAGAACCAACUCAACUUAAUAACUUAAAUUGUUAAGUGAGGUUCUAAAAUUUUGAUUUAUAUUAUUCUCUAAUAAUAUCGUGAUAGUUUGCCCCGUGCUCACCCUUAUUAGCCGACAUCCCCAUAUCUCUGCAUCAGAAAAAUCUUCUUUCUGAGGGAAGUAAUCCGAUAAACCUUCCUCCAGAUCCAGUAAGUUAAUGUUCAAUAAAAAAACAUAGCAACAACUAGCAAGCAAAAACUACAACCUCUUAAUAUGACAUCUCAGCCGAAAAAUCUCCGAAACCUCCAAAAAUCUCACUCCAUUUACUCCUCCGAUAACUAGACUUCCAAGAAAUAGAACCACCAACACAACCACUAUUAUCUAAGAAACAGUUAGGGCAUGAUUCGAUGACACCAGGGUGAUCAUAAAAAAACAACAAAUGAAGUUUGACUAAUCAAGUACAUGUUUAGCAAUUUGAUCAAGAAAUUAAAUAAAACCUCGAAACCAUAACCUAAAAUCAUACAAACUGGAUUCAAAGUAAAAUCAGAAUUAUUCAACACACACCAAGCUUUCAAUCCAACUCAGAAAAUUUAGACGCUGCCGGACCCAACCCAGCUUAUCUCAUCUCGAGAUUCAAACCCUUUUACAUUAUAAAGCAAAGAUUGCAGCAGCAACUGCACCAACUGAUCCAACCACGUUAUUACGCGUGAACAUGACUGCGCCAGAUAUAUCCACUGGAGCAACAGGACUCUCAACAUUAGCUGCAGGAACUGCCUUAGUAGGCUUUUCUGGUGCGGGUGCUACUGGUGCUGGAGCUGGGGCCUUAGAAGCAAAAAUGUCCUUAGGAAGUAGCACCUUCUCAAUCUUAUAAAUGGCUAGCUGGUUGUCCGUGUAUACCGUGCCAGAUAAACUUGUAUUGGUAAGUCCUGUGGUUAUGUUCACCGAGUUUGGAUAACUUGUUACGUUAAGUGGUAACCUACUACCUGUUCCAGCCCAUGUUCCAAGAGGAUUACUUACAGUCUGAAACUGGGAAGUGGAUAGGAAUGUUGGAACUACGUGGAACUUCACCAACUCAGACUUGUCACCAUCACUUAGAGUAUUGAGAGUUCCUGAUUUGAGUUCCGAAAAUGCACUAUCUGUGGGUGCAAAGAUGGUUACACCAGAGCUUGAAUCAUUAAGCGCGGAGAACAAGUGGUUUUCCUCUUGGGUGGAUCUCAAAAGGCGGAUAAAGAUCGUGAAGUGGCCAGCCUUCUCAAGGAUUUUGGUGACGUUGGUGAUGCCGUGUGGAGCAGCUGCCUGUGUUGGAGUUGCGGCUGGGGGUUGUGCUACGACUACUGCUGGUGCCUGCGCUGGGGCUGCUGCUGGUGACUGGGCAAAGGUAUUGGUAUAGUGGAGGAAAAGAAGGAAAACUGAAAUGGAGGAGAUUGAGUACUGUUGCUUCAUCUUUAAGUUUCCAGGCUAUUCUACUAGAAACUAUAAAAAAAAUGCUUAUGUAAAUUGAGCUCGAUCUUAUUUAGAAGUGUUUGAUGUCUAAAGAAGAGACAGAGUGAGGUUUUAUAGUAGUAGGCAGAGGAUCAAGUAAGGUGCCAUGUACAAUUUCAGAUAUACUAUCUAGUACCUUAUCUUGCUCCAUAAGGUGGAAGGUCACCAAUGGAGAAGGAAAUUUAACAUUGCUGCUCCAACUACUUUCUGAAUUAUCACUGGCAGAACAUUUGAGCAUAAAUGUGAACAUCAAAACAAAUCAUCUGUAAUGACAGAAGAUUUGGACAAGCAAUCUCUACUGACCCAUCUCUAUAUCUAAAACUGCUAAGAAUUGUGUCUUUAAGACAUGUCCUGAUGUUUUGAAAUAAAUGAGUAGGAAAAUGCAACAAAGUCCUUGGAGGCUUAAAAAUGGAUAUAAAUGAACGAGGGAGGGGUAUUGUAAUAAUUGAAUAAACAUAAUAAGUAUAAAUAGAAAAAAAAAAAAAAAAAAGAGAUCUGAAAAUUUUGAGAGAUAACCGGCAGGAGUGAAGGGAGAAAAAAGAAGAAGAAGAAGAAAAAAGAGGGAAAGAUAAGGGAAAUAGAAGAGAAUUAGAGAAAAUAAGCUUAAAGUUAAGAUUAUGUAUAAAUGUGUGUUCUUUAAGCUUUAAAUUUCUGUUUUGUUGAAUGUUAAGGUUUUAAAGAUUGUGUUUUGGUUGAUUGAUGAAUUGAUUUGAAUGUUAUGGGUUGAUUGUUAUGGGUAAUGAAUUGUUUAGUUGAUUUUGAAAGAUUUUAGGUAAAGAUGAUGAUUUUGAAUUAUGAUUUUGUUUAAAUGGUGAAUUUGAGUUAGAAAUCUUGAUAUAACAGUAGGUAAUCUGUGAAAUUCUGGGUUUGAGGUUGAAGAUGACAAAAUUUAGUUUGGUCCCUCAAUUUGUGAAAAUUACAAGUUAGUCCCUAAACUUUGUAAAAAAACACAGAUUGGUCCCUGGAGCAUAUUCCGAGAUUCUGGACAGAAUAAAAGAUGAAUUAUGGGCAGAAUUCCAGUAUAAUUAUGAAUUUUUAACACUUUCAAUUUGGUCCUUCCAUUUGACAAAAAUUACAAUUUGACCCUAAAAAUUUGGAAAAAUUCCAGAAUGGUCCCUGGAGCAUAAUUAGAGAUUCUGGACAGAACUGAUGAUAAAUUAUGGACAUAAUACCACUAUAGUCAUGAAUUUAUGAUAUUUUUAGUUCGGUCCUCCAAUUUGACAAAGUUACAAUUUGACCCUUAAAAAUAUAAUAAAUUCCAAAUUGGUCCCUAGCUGUAAUAUUAGCUUUUGCAAAUUGGUUUGAUGAAUAAUUGAGGAUUAUUUAGUGAAUUAUUAUCAAGUCUUGUUAUUUGUUUUAUUAUGAAUUAGAUUUCGGGAAUACUAUUUAAUUUUGGGUUUUUGGAAAAAUGACUAGUUUAGUUUAAAAACAUAUAGGGUUAUGGAAUAGACCCUUAUUUAAGUGUAUUAAAUAGGUUGAACGUUCUUUUCGAGUCGUUUUUUAAUAUGUCUCCUUUGUAUUCAGAUAAUCUUGAUAUUCUAUCGACAAGACAUUAGUAGGAUUUUCUUCGGUAUCUGCUUUCGAGUUAUGUUUGCUUUCGAGUCAGAUGAGUGGAUAAUUUUCCAUAUGCAUGAGAAAUAUUAUAAAUAUUUGAUUUGUUAAUAUGAAUUGGAUCAUGCUUCUUGAUAAUAUAUAUGUUGAUUAUUAUCUUUGUUACGAUAAAGCAUGAUCAAUUGUUGAAUCUGAAUUCUUGAUAUGAACUAAUAUAUAUUUUGAAUUGACUUUUGAGUUGAUAGCUCCUCAUUUGAUUAAUGUCAUGAGUUGAGCCUUGAGAUAUGAAUAUGUCUGUUUGAUUAUGAUUAUGAACUUACGGUAUGUCAGUCAGAAUACUCAUGCUAACAGGGUAGUAUUAGUCUUUGUGCACAUCGUAUCUGAACCCUAGUUGGUCGGGGGAGUCACAACCUAUGUGGACUGAUCAUCCCACAAUAUUACGGAGCCUCAUGCUCAUUGCAUUUUGAUUUUGUGACGAGCUUUACCUUAUGAUAUUUUUGUUAUUAUCUAUUUGAGAAACCUUUCUAUAAGAACCUAGAGUCAUAAUUGUAUAUAUAUUUCUCAUUGUUGUAUUACCUCUUGUGUGUAUAUUGAACGUUAUCUACUCACUGAGUUGUUGAACUCACCCUCUCAUUAUUUAUCUUUUCAGGCUUAUAGCUUGUUAGCGGGUCAUUUUGUUGGACCUUCAGGACCUGCUUUUUUGUUGAAAUUUGUAUUUUUUCCUUAUGUCUAGUUAGUGCUCCACAACUAUGAAUUUAUAUUAACUCUUGUAUUAAAAUAAUCAAAUUAUAUAAUGAAGUUAAUUUUGUUAUUAAUGUUGCGUUGAACUCACAUUGAGGUAUUUGAAGGUUAAGUUUGUAUGUAAGUCUGGGUUCGUAUAGGUAUAUGGAACCUUGAAGAGGAACUUUACUUGUGUGCCGGUCAUGGAUCUGGGAAUCGGGUCAUGACAUGUCCAACCUAAAACUCUGCCAAAAAAACAUCUUUUAGCUCAAAUGCUUAAGAUUUAAAGAAGAAAAAAUAAAAAUGUUGAAAUUCAAACUUGUUUGGUCAUUAAGUCUCGUGGUAUAAAAUAAGAAUUUCAACUCAAAAGCUGAAAUUAUUAGGUGAAGCAUCAAUAUAUAAUUUUUGUUAAUAGGUAUCACAUUCAAAUGCAGUUAACAGAACUGUAAAGUUACGGAUUGAAGAUAACUACAUUUUGAUUUGAACUAUGCUUGUAAGAGUUCGAAAAUCACAACGAAAAUAUAUGUUUUCACCAUUGUCCCACAACAUGUAUGAAUUAAUUUGUAUACUUUAAUCUCCUGUGAAAAAUUGAAUAAACAGCUGUUAGUUCACACUAACUUAAUACUGACUGGAAACGUUAAGACUGUAACAACAACAAAGGAUUAACGUAUUCCUGCAACAUGGUACAGUAAGAUGCUUUGGCAUGAAAUAUUUGCUUCAAUGAAACUGUAAUGUUUUGAAUUAAUGAAUUGGAAAAUACAACAAAGCCCUUUGUGGCUUAAAGUGUGGGUAUAAAUGAAUGAGGGGUAGUGUGGUAAUUAGAUAAACAUAAUAAAUAUAAAUAGAAGAAAAAAAACAAAAGAAGGAUCUGAAAAUUUAAGAGAGAAUCGGCAGAAGAGAAGGGAGAAAGAAGAAGAAGAAGAGAAAAGAGGGAAUUAAAAGGGAAAUAGAAAGGAGUUGAAGAGAAUAAGUUUAAAGGUAAGAUUUAGGUUGUUAAAUGUAUAAAUGUAUGUUAAUUGAACUUAAUUUCAGUUUUGAUAAAUGUUAGGGUUUUGAAAAUUUGUGUUUUGGGUUUAAUUGAUGAAUUAAAUUGAAUGUUAUAAGGUUGAUUGUUAUGGGUAAUUGAUUAAUGAGUUGAUUAUGGAAGAUUGUGAUGAUUUUGAGUUAUGAAUUGUGUAAAUGGUGAAUGUUGAGUUAGAAAUUUGGCAAGAACAGUAGGUAAUCUGUGAGAAUUCUGGGUUUGAGGUUGAAGAUGACAAAAUUUCGGUUUGGUCCUUUAAUUUUGAAAAAUUACAGAUUAGUCCCUAGCUGUAAUAUUAGCUUUUGCAGAUUGAUUUGAUGACUAAUUAAGGGUUAUUUAGUAAAUCAUUAUCAAUUUUAUUAGUUGUUUUAUUAUGGAUUAGAUUUCGGGAAAACCGUUAAAUUUUGGGUUUUUGAGAAAAUUGACUAGUUAGUUCAAAAACAUAUAGGGUUAUGAAAUACACCCUUAGAUAAGUGUAUUAAAUAGGUUAUAUAUUCUUUUGAGUCAUUCUUGAAUAUGUCUCCUUUGUAUUCAGAUAAUCCUGAUAUUCUACCAGCGGGACGUCAGUAGGAUUUUCUUCGGUGUCUGCUUUUGACUUCUGUUUGCUUUUGAGUCAGGUGAGUGGAUAAUUUUCCAUAUGCAUGAGAAAUAUUAUAAAUAUUUGAUUUGUUAAUAUGAAUUGGAUUAUGCUUCUUGAUAAUAUAUAUGUUGAUUAUUAACCUUGUUUUGAUAAAGCAUGAUCAAUUGUUGAAUCUGAAUUCUUGAUAUGAACCAGUAUAUAUUUUGAAUUGAAUUCUGAAUUGAUAGCUCCUCAUUUGAUUGGUGUCAUGAGUUGAGCCUUGAGAUAUGAAUAUGUCUGUUUGAUUAUGAUUAUGAAUAUAUGGUAUGCCAGUCAGAAUACCCAUGCUAACAGGGUAGUGUUAGUCUUUGUGCACAUCGUAUCUGAACCUUAGUUGGUCGGGGGAGUCACCAACCUGUGUGAACUGAUCAUACCACAGUACGGAGCCUCAUGCUCAUUGCAUUUUGAUUUUCUGACAAGUUUUACCAUAUGACAUUCUUGUUAUGGCCAAUUUGAGAAACCUUUCUGUAAGAACCUAGAGCCAUACUUGUAUAUAUAUUUCUCAUUGUUGUAUUACCUCGUGUGUGUAUUGAACGUUAUCUACUCACUGAGUUGUUGAACUCACCAUCUCAUUAAUUAUCCUUUUCAGGCUUAUAGUUUGAUAGCAGGUCACUUUUGUUGAAACUUCCGAACCUGCUUUUUGGUUGUAAUUUGUACCUUUCUUUUAUGUCAAGUUAGUGCUCCAAAACUAUGAAUUAUAUUAACUCUUGUAUUAAGACAAUUCAAUUAUAUUAUGAAGUUGAUUUUGUUAUUAAUGUUGCGUUGAACUCUGAUUAAGUUAGGAUAAGUUUGUGUGUAAGUUUAGGUUCGCAUAGGUAUGGAACCUUGGAGGGGAACCUUGCCUAUGUGCCGGUCAUGGAUCCGGGAUUCGGGUCGUGACAGAAACCAUACAACCUCCCCACCUUAAAUUGAAUAGUCUCUGGUGAUCCAAGAUUUGGACAAGGAAUAUCAGGCAAUUCAUCCUUGUUAGUGAAGGAACUAAGUUUUAGCUCUUUCAGAUUUCAAUAGCAAUUUUUUACGUUCUUCAUUUACCUCCAACCUUCAAGAGAUACGCUCUCCGAACUCACACACCCAGAAAACAAGUCACCCACAAAGUCAUCUGCUAAAAAGCAAUUUCCAAGAAACGUUGUCACUGACCUCAGGAAGUCAAGCCCCAUGAAGGCAAUACUCAUUAUUUUGUACUGAAAAUAAUAUUUAAGCCUCAAAAUCUUAACACAUCCAUUUCUUAGCAUAAAGGAAGAGAAAAGUCUCCGAGGGAGAAAUUGAAGUAAAUUUCAUGUACAUUGCCCUUAAUGGCAUAAUCAAUCCACUGGGGAUACCAGAGCGAAGACAGAAUUUGAAACGGGAAGAGGAAGGAGGGUAUUAUCAACAAAUUCGAUGCAAACGGGGAGGGAAGUGCGGUGGGAGUUGUGAGAGUCAUCAUCAUACUAUUAAUAAAGACUAGUAAACAGGAAUUUGGAUGCACUAGCUAUAAGCUAGUCAGAAAAGAUCAAGCAUGAUCAUUCGCAUGAAAUGCUGGGGGAGGGAAGAACUUCCGAUUGAAUAAAACUCAAUAAGUUCAUGAAUCAUACUUCUUCGGAUCGAAAUGGGGGGGGAAGAACUUCCGAUUGAAUAAAACUCAAUAAGUUCAUGAAUCAUACUUCUUCGGAUCGAAAUAAAUCAUCUCUGGCAUUUCUCUGCUGCUUCCUUCUUACUGUUUUUCUCCCUGGUCAGUGGUGACAAUCUACUUCAAUCUCUUUCGGCCUCCAUUAUCUCAUAACUCACCUUCCUUCAUUCCUCCACCAAUCUUGCAAUCACUUUUCCUUCGCUUCAUAUUUCCUGCAAGCUUUCUCUCCUCUGCUAUCAUGAUACGUUGCCCCAUAUUCACCCCACUUAGCCAACACCCCCCUAAGAUCGGAUCAGAAGAACCAUCCCCAGAGGAAAUAACCCUAAGAACCUUCGGCAAGUUAAUAUCCGCGAAAAAAGAUGUCAACAGCUUGCAAGCUUUUGCAACCCCCUGAAUAGGACUUCUCAGCUUGACAACCCUCGUCUCCUCCAAAAAUUCCACUUACUACUCAUCCUCCAGUAAGUAUUCAUCCUCCAGUAAGUAUACUUCCCCAGAAAUUGAUUCACCAAUCCAACCACCAUUAUCUACCCGAAAACUAGGAAAUGAUUAGAUGACACCCGGAUUAUAGUAAAAAAAAAAAAUUGAAAUUUGACUAAUCAAGUACCAAGAAAUUAAAUAAAAUCUCAAAACUCAAUUUUAAUCGUAAACUCAAAGCAUACAAACUGGAUUCAAGGUCAGAUCGAAAUUACUCAACAGAUUCAAUACAGCUCAGAAAAAUAUAACAUCAAAACCAGACCAAACCCCACCAAAUUUCAUCUCAAGAUUCAAACCUUUAUACAUUACAGAGCAAACAUUGCAGCAGCAACUAUGCCAACUGAUCCCACCACAUUAUUAUGUGCGAACAUAAGUGCACUAGAUAUAUCCACAGGAGCCACGGGACUCUCUACGGUUGCUGCAGGAACUGCCUUUGUAGGCUUUGCUGGUGCAGGUGCUACCGGUGCUGGAGCUGGAGCCUUUGAAGCAAAAAUGUCCUUAGGAAGUAGCACCUUCUCAAUCUUAUAAAUGGCUAGCUGGUUGUCCGUGUAUACUGUGCCAGAUAAACUUGUAUUGGUAAGUCCUGUGGUUAUGUUCACUGAGUUUGGAUAACUUGUGACAUUAAGUGGUAACCUACUACCUGUUCCAGCCCAUGUUCCGAGAGGGUUACUUACGGUCUGGAACUGGGAGGUCGAUAAGAAAGUAGGAACUACAUGAAACUUCACUAACUCAGACUUGUCUCCAUCACUUAGAGUGUUGAGAGUUCCUGAUUUGAGUUCCGAGAAUGCGCUAUCAGUUGGUGCAAAGAUGGUUACACCAGAGCUUGAAUCAUUAAGCGCGGAGAAUAAGUGGUUUUCCUCUUGGGUGGAUCUCAAAAGGCGGAUAAAGAUCGUGAAAUGUCCAGCCUUCUCAAGGAUUUUGGUGACGUUUGUGAUGCCGUGUGGCUGAGCUGCCUGUGUUGGGGUUGCAGCUGGAGGUUGUGCUACAACUGCUGCUGGUGCCUGUGCUGGGGUUGCAGCUGGUGACUGAGCAAAGGUAUUAGCACAAUGGAGUAAAAGAAGAAAAAAUGAAAAAGAGGAGAGUGAGUGCUGUUGCUUCAUCUUUACAGUCCCUGAUAUAAAGCUUGAAACAAUACCAAAACACCAAAGCAAAUUAAGCUCUAUUGAUCGAUCGUUGAAGUGUUUGAUGUGUAAAGAAGGGAUAGAGUGAGGUUUUUAUAGUGGUGGGCAGAGGAUCAAGUUAGGUUUAGUGUACACUUCUAGCUACAAACUAGGUUAUUAUCCAGCACCUCAUCUUACUUCAAAAGGUGGAGGGUGUCAAUGGAGAGGGAAUUUAACAAUGCUGCAGCAACUAGUUUGCUUGGAAAAGCAGGAAAAGAUUUCAGUGGUGUGACAGCAAAUAAGGAUGUCUAUGAUUGUCAAAAUUAUAGCUGUCAGCAUCCACAGGAAGAAUAGUUUUAUGAUUGCUAGAGCCUUCAGAGACAUGGUAGCUUAAGAUAGUGAGCAACAUUCACUUGCAUUUCAGAAAAUAACUCUCAAUGAAGAGAUCUUAACGUCCUGCAAUCCAUGACACGCAUCGAUGGACAGAUUUUUCGAGAUUUACACACGCACAAAUCAAAUCAUACGCCACACCAUUACUUAACACAAGAAACAAUAACCUUAAUUGCUCAAGCCCCUUCGAAACCAUAGUCACAAGAUUUUGUUAUAUACAAGCCUCAAAUCUUUAACACACCCGUUUCUGAGAAAAAAGAAGGGGAAUCUUUGAGUUUUUGCAUCGACAGACCAAUAUGAGGAAAGCAUGAGCUCGAGGUCUUUCACAUGGUGGUCAAUACCAUUAUGCAUUAAUCAUGAUAGUCUUAGAAGUCUAGUUGGAAGUAAACUUGUGGAGAGGAGGAGGGGAAAGAGGGGGCUGGCAGAGGCAGGUUUUGUUGAAAAAAUCAGAGGGAGGGUAAGGGAAGUGGAGGCAACGGAGCUUUGUAUCAGAUUUAAAGCCAUUUGUGGAAAGUUCAGAAGGUUUGGAUUGCAGUUUUGGUAGGAAGAAAAGAGGAUGUGGACUGUAGAGUAUCUCUUCUGAUGAAGUUGUUUAGGCUUUGAGUGGUGGUGGUUGUGGUUCUUGGCUCUGCUGCCAUCUUCUUGAACUUACUUGAUUACGCUUGCAAAGAACAAAUCCAGAAGCAAAUCAUAGAAGGGUCGGUUUUGGCAGACAUUAGUCACAUCCUGUUUACCAAGAAACUCAUUUUUUGACAUUUUUACUGAUAGGAAUCCACUUUUUCCAGCUUCAAGUGCAUCUGAAUGCUCUCUCGCACUCUUUUUUUAGGCCAUUACCAACGCCAAAAGUUCCGAAACUAGAAGAACACAACACCCUGAACCUGAGCAACAAUACUCAUGGUUUAAAAGUUCACCGAGGUUGCUUAGAUAAACAAGUACAAGAAACCUUCUACUUGUCCUUCAAUUGGCGCUUGCAUCGAUGCACUGACACUCAGUAAUAAUACUUUCAAGAACCUAAAAAAAGUGAGCCAUAAUUUUAGCCUCAUAGAUUCAUCAAUGUUCCUCUUCAACCCCAUGGUUUAACAUUUCAACAAUGUUACCGCUAUAGUUUUUCAAAUGUUUCAAUUUUACCCUUAUUAUUUUAUAUCUUCUCAUUUUUUUCCACUAAAAAAUCAUAAAUAUCAUAAUACUCGCAAAAUACUUGGAAACUUUAUAUAUACAUAUAUAAAAAGCCCAACUCAUAAACAUAAUCAAUUUUGGAAACCAUAGGGGUAACACUGAGAAGUUUAAACUAUUGGAGUAGGAGUGGAACAGUGAUGAAUCUAUAGGAAUAAAACUGAAGUUUAACCCAAAAAAAAGAGAGAGAGAAAGGACAAGGCAAUCUUUUUAUUUCAUUCAAGAGCACACCUUUUUAGCAUGUGUAUUGGUAAAAGUACGAUUGGGCUUUUGUCAUCUGCCUCAACAAACAUGUGACGAGAAGAAAAUGGCAACACAAAAAUACAAAAACAAAUACAAAAUUUCCACACAGGAGACAGCUUCCCGCACCUCCAAAUAACUUGGUGCCACUAAAUUCUGGUGAAAGGACUAGCAAAAUUUUCACCGACAGAUCGUCGAUGCAAGCAAUGAGUUAUGUUCAAGGAUUUCUUGCUCAAUAUCUUCUAUCGAUCAUCAAAAGCUAGUUUACGUCUCUUCUCAUGUUGCUUUGAAACUCUCUGACCAAGCUUUGUAAUAUUGUAUUUGCUGCUUACAAAGAAAAGAGGGUUAGACGAAUAUAAGCGAGGAUUUCUGCUCUCUGUUAUUAGACACCAGUAAGAGAGAGCUGUACCUUCUCUGACACGGAUGGUGAAAUUUUACCAAGGGCUUGCUCAAAAUGAGUGGCUGUGAUAUUAACUGCUGGCUCAUUUUGUGCGGCCGUGAUUGUACCUGAAGUCUCAUUCAAACAUCUUUGUCUCUUGGCCUCCUUCAAAGCAGUCAUUGCGGCUUCCUCCAUCUGGGAAAUAAUUCCAAUCCAAGUUAACAAGCGAAGGCUGGUCAAGUAAAGUCAGACCUCUUGAAAGUAUCACAAGAAUUAGAAUGUGUUCCAGCUCUAACAUAUGUCAAUAAAAAACCGAGACUAAUAGAAACAUAGACAAACCAGCUUCCUAAGAUCAGCCCCGCUAAAAUUUUUACAAGCCUCCAUUUGACCGAUGGCAGCCAAGUCGACACUAGGAUCAAUAGGUUUUCCUUUAGCGAGAGCCUUUAAGAUCAAUCCACGGUCCUCUGAACUUGGCAGAGGGACAUAAAGAAGUUUGCCAAACCUACCAGGCCGCAGGACAGCAGGGUCCAUCACCUCAGGUCUACCAUCAGAGACACCAGCUUCAGUGAGAGAAGUGGAGAGGAGAGGAGAGGAAAAUGAAAGAAGAGAGAGAUUAGUGUACCUGUUAGUGGCACCAAUGAUAAAAAUACCAGGGCGCUGAUCUGCACCAUCUAACUCUAUAAGCAACUGCAAUUAUAAGCAUUGCAUUCAAUUGACAUAUACUGGGAACAAGUUGAUGAUAUGGAUCACAUAGAGAAAAACAGAUGUUUUAAUUCAGUUUAUGUCAUUGCAUCUUAUUGACCUGAUUUAAGAGCCUCUCAACAACCCACCCCCCUUCUUUUCCACGCAUUGUUGUCAAAGCAUCCACCUGUAUAAAAACAAAAUAAAUUGUUGCAAAGGACAGAAAAUUUAUUGGACUUCAGAUAACAUAGAAGUGCACAAAGUAAAGAAAGCCUCAUCAGCCAGAAAAAACCAUUGAUUUACUAUACAGGUCAUUAGAUGGAAAUCUCACAAAGUGAAGUCAAAUAGAUCUAAGAGGAAAGAACAAUCCAAAUACAGAGUAUCGUACAAUUUCCAACAUACACAAAAAAAAUAUCAGAGUUCAUUAGAGUAGGGGAAGUGCCAAAUAUUUCAGUCAUCUAUCUUUCCAAUCUAGAUCUCCAUUAUGUCAAAUUAAAUAACUGGAUACCGAUAAAUACAAAGAAAGGAGAGCCACAAACCUCAUCGAAGAAGAUUAUGCAUGGCGAGCACGUUCUUGCACGACUGAAUAACGUCCUAACUGCCAGUUCGCUUUCUCCAACAUACUUAUUCAGAAGUUCAGGACCCUGAUAAAUUAUGGAAUUCACAAUCAUUAAUGUUUUGAGACAGAUUUAGAACAGAUUCAGUAAGAAAACUGUGGUAUCAAGGCACCAAAAAAGAAUAGAAUGGAAAAAAAAAAUUGAGUAAGAGAAUGAAUGGAAGGACUCACCUUCACAUGAAUGAAGUUAGCUCCUGCCUCGUUAGCAGCAGCCUUAGCGAUCAUUGUUUUGCCACAGCCAGGAGGUCCGUAGAGCAAAAUCCCUGUCUCUAAAUUCACUCCAAAUUUCUGAAUUUACAAAUAAUGCGCGUGAUUAGUAAGUGAAUCAACCAGAACAAUACAA
Molecule: long non-coding RNA, 19196 nt
Filed under: Populus trichocarpa (black cottonwood)
Lineage: Eukaryota; Viridiplantae; Streptophyta; Magnoliopsida; Malpighiales; Salicaceae
Description: long non-coding RNA (PTRI_LNC003158)
Source: RNAcentral